GGGUGACAGAUGGCACCGUUUGCUAGGAAAUACAUCCAUUUUCCCCCUGUUUUUUUGGCAGUCUCACAGUCAAUAAUGUGCAGAUGAGAGGUGGGAAGGCCCAGCACUGGCUGUGGACGUGGAGCAGAGCUCUGCUGUGUGGCUGUAACUUUAUUUAAAUAGAUUGUUGUUACACACACUCUUAUCACAGCAAAGAAGCCAAGGAAACUUUCCCCGUGGAUUUGGGGUUGGUGUGGGACAGAGGAAGGAGUUGUAAUGAGAUUUCCAUGUUGGGAUGUUCAAUCCUGCCUCCAAGAACUGUGAUGAGGAACUGAUGUCCCCUUGCUCAGACCUCUCCUGGGGGGCACAGGACACUGGGAAUGCUCUUGGGUCCAUCUAGUGGAAUAAUUAGUCCCAAGCAAUAUGAGAAGCCAAAUUAAAUCCUUAAUUACCAUUUCAGCCCGGAGAAGAGAUGCUUCUUUCCAUUUUUUUUGCCAAAGAACGAGCUAAAGUUGGGUGUAACGCCAGGAAAGGCGAGGAAGUUUCAAUUUUCACACGUGGAGUGGAGAAUCCUUGGGAGAAUUCGGCUCUUUGCUCCUGCUGGGUGGAAAGAGCAGCACAAUUUGCAGCACAAGGGGAUCUCUCGGGUGCUGUUUGCUUGAGGUGGCCCCCAAAAUUUGGGAUGGAAGGAUUCCAGAGCCCCAAAACUCAGCGUUCCUGGGCCUUUGCUCUGCCUCCCUUCCUGGCAGCUCUGUGAAUGCAUCAAAUCUCUGAUAAAUAAUGAGCUUUUUCCAUUCUUCUCCCCAAAUAUCUUGUUUUCCUGCCAAGCUUACCACAGGUGAAGCAUCUCCUGGCAGAGGGGAAAAUUCCAGGGGUUCACCUCACAUUUUUGUAUUUUCUCUUCCCUGUGUUACCCAAACAUCUUUUAGACUUUCUUUAACCUUUUCAAACUCCUCACUAGCAGGGCUCGCUCUGUUAUUUCCACAUCGAGUUGGCAUUUUCACAGGAAAAUAGCCUUCCCAUAAAAAUUGUGCAUUUAUUGAAGAAAAGAAUGGAUUUUUCCAUUGGGGGAAUGGGAAUAUUGGCUCCCCAGCCAGGUGGGCACCUUGAAGCUGUAAACUGCCUCCCUCCAAAGACAUUUAAUUAUUCUGAAAUGAUUUUUUUUGUUGGCUUAUUUUUUUUUUCUGUAAAAUAUUCCACCUUUUUAUUUUCUCUUCCAAUUUCAAGCCAACAAAUACAAAAUAAAUCAACUCUCAAUUAUUUCCCCCCAACUGCUUCCCCCGGGGCUGUGCUGCGAUUAUGUGGAGAGAAAUAAAUUUGGUUAAACAAUGGUAAAUUGUCCUGAGCUGCCUUUUAUUAUCAGGAAGUUGCUUUGGCAACUGGAUAAUUUGCUGAUUUUUUUUACAUUAUUUUAGUCCCUUGCAUCUAUUCAUGAGAUUAUUCCAAAUGUUAUAUCAGUGCAUUUAAAUUAAGCAUGAAAGUGUUUUAGGGCUUUUUGCAAUGAUUGCUUAUUUAUUUUAUUAUCAAUAAUAAAUUUCAACCCAAAGCUUGAAGCUUCCCCUUUCAAGGACAGUAAAAAGGCAGGAGAGAAGCAGCUGGUGGCACAUAAAGAGCAAUGAAACAGGGCUGGGGUUGUGGGGAGGCCGCAAAGAAACUGAGCUGGGAUUUCUGGGUUCUUCUCCUCAAUUCUUUCUCUUUUUAAGGGAAAUUUGUCUUCUCUGGGCUCCAGAGCUGCUCCAAAGGAAAGGAAUGAAGUUGGGCUGAGGUUGCCGUGCUGCGAGGUGAAGUGCUUUUGGUAGGACUGGUUGGAAAUGUGGCUCUGUUGUUGUUUUUAAUGACAAAAUUUUGAUUUUCAUAGAAUUGCCGGAGGGUUUGGGUUGGAAGGGACCUCAAAGCCCAUCCAGUGCCACCCCUGCCAUGGCAGGGACAGCUUCCACUGGCCCAGGCUGCUCCAAUAUCGUAAAUGCAGGCGAACCCAAUGGGAAGAAAUGACGAUGUCUGACUCAAUUCAGAAAACUGAAUUAUUUCUUUAUUAUAAUUAUGCUAAAAUACAUUAAUAUGCUAUAUAAAAGGAGGAUACUAAAACUACAUACUACUUUCUCUGACUCUAACACAACUUGUGACCCUCUCUCUGUCCAGCCCUUGGUGGGUUGGAUUGGCCAUCAGCUCAAACAAUCCUCGCCAGAAUCCCACCAAGCAACACCCCAGGGAAACAAUUCUCCAAACACAUUCCACAUGGGAAAAACAAGGAGCAGAAAUAGAAAUUGUUUUCUCUUUCAUUUCUCUCUGUGCACCUCUAUGAAAAUCCUGAGAGGGAAAGAAAUGUGCUUGCCACACUCCAAGCCCCAUCCAAGCUGACCUUGGGCGCUGCCAGGGAUCCAGGGGCACCCACAGCUGCUCUGGGCACCCUGUGCCAGUGCACAGAGUAACUUUCAGCCACAUCUCUCUUUCCCCUGAUAUUUUCCUAGUUUUUAAUUCAUUACAUUUAUGUCAGAGUAUUGUUUUUGUAUUUGUUUUUCCAUCCAGGCUUCUUGGAACAGGGAGAGAGGCAAAGCACCCCUUGCACUUCAGCUCUGCCCGGUUUAGGAUUGUCAAAUAUUCCCUUCCCCAGGUAAAUCAACAUCCUCACAGAGGUGCUGCCCUGAGAAUCCACCAGCACAGCUGGAGCAGGCCUUGAGCUCCUCCUGCACUUCCCUGGGCUGCCCAACUCCCCCCACACUCAUCCAUGGGCUGCCUAAUUGGGAAAUUGAUUAAUUGACUGUCUAGAUAAUGGCCUCUCUUCCUGCAUGGCUUCAAGAUUCCAGCACAGGAGCCUUGGAGCUGCACUGGCUUCAAAGGGAAAGGAUUUCUAUAGGAUUUCUCUGGGGUUUGUAGGAUUGCUUGUAGAGAAUUUGCAGCCCCAUCCCUGGCAGUGUCCAAGGGCAGGUUGGAUGGGAAUUGGAGCAGCCUGGGAGAGUUGGAGGUGUCCCCAUGGCAGGGGGUGGAGCUGAGUGAUUUUUGAGCUCCCUUCCAAUCCAAA
Molecule: long non-coding RNA, 2998 nt
Organism: Taeniopygia guttata (zebra finch)
Lineage: Eukaryota; Metazoa; Chordata; Aves; Passeriformes; Estrildidae
Source: Ensembl